GUUAUAUUUGGAGGUUUGCGUUGUAUUUGGUUUUGAUUGGUUUGUUUGGAAGCUAGCGUGGUUCAAUUGGUUAUAUUUGGAGGUUUGCGUUGUAUUUGGUAAGCGAGUCUAUUUAUGUUUUGGCUGAUUUUGAUUGUAUUUUAUUUGCAGGUUUUGAUUGGUUUGUUUGGAAGCUAGCGUGGU
Long non-coding RNA from Drosophila miranda, 183 nucleotides. RefSeq lists it as uncharacterized. NCBI's taxonomy places the organism in Eukaryota, Metazoa, Arthropoda, Insecta, Diptera, Drosophilidae. The record is from RefSeq and is a predicted model, not a curated record. The transcript is spliced from 3 exons.